GUUAUAGGGUCAAGCGAACAAGUGCAUGUGUGGAUGCCUUGGCGAUCACAGGCGAUGAAGGACGCGGUAGCCUGCGAAAAGCUACGGGGAGCUGGCAAACGAGCUUUGAUCCGUAGAUGUCCGAAUGGGGAAACCCACUCCUUUUGGAGUAUCCAUAGCUGAAUACAUAGGCUAUGUGAAGCGAACGCGGUGAACUGAAACAUCUAAGUAACCGCAGGAAAAGAAAUCAACCGAGAUUCCCAAAGUAGUGGCGAGCGAAAUGGGAAGAGCCUGUACUCUUUAUUUGUAUUGUUAGUCGAACGCUCUGGAAAGUGCGGCCAUAGCAGGUGAUAGCCCUGUAGACGAAAACAGUAUGAAAGAACUAGGUGUACGACAAGUAGGGCGGGACACGUGAAAUCCUGUCUGAAGAUGGGGGGACCAUCCUCCAAGGCUAAAUACUCGUGAUCGACCGAUAGUGAACCAGUACCGUGAGGGAAAGGCGAAAAGAACCCCGGGAGGGAGUGAAAUAGAUCCUGAAACCGCAUGCAUACAAACAGUCGGAGCCUCGUAAGGGGUGACGGCGUACCUUUUGUAUAAUGGGUCAGCGACUUACGUUCAGUAGCAAGCUUAACCGAAUAGGGCAGGCGUAGCGAAAGCGAGUCCGAAUAGGGCGUUCAGUUGCUGGGCGUAGACCCGAAACCAAGUGAUCUAUCCAUGGCCAGGAUGAAGGUGCGGUAACACGUACUGGAGGUCCGAACCCACUAACGUUGAAAAGUUAGGGGAUGAGCUGUGGAUAGGGGUGAAAGGCUAAACAAACUUGGAAAUAGCUGGUUCUCUCCGAAAACUAUUUAGGUAGUGCCUCGUGUCUCACCUUCGGGGGUAGAGCACUGUCAUGGUUGGGGGGUCCAUUGCGGAUUACCCCGCCAUAGCAAACUCCGAAUACCGAAGAGUGCAAUCACGGGAGACAGACAUCGGGUGCUAACGUCCGGUGUCAAGAGGGAAACAACCCAGACCGCCAGCUAAGGUCCCCAAAUAUAGCUAAGUGGGAAACGAAGUGGGAGACCGCCAGCUAAGGUCCCCAAAUAUAGCUAAGUGGGAAACGAAGUGGGAAGGCUAAAACAGUCAGGAGGUUGGCUUAGAAGCAGCCACCCUUUAAAGAAAGCGUAAUAGCUCACUGAUCGAGUCGUCCUGCGCGGAAGAUGUAACGGGGCUAAGCUAUAUACCGAAGCUGCGGAUGCAUAUUUAUAUGCAUGGUAGGAGAGCGUUCCGUAAGCCUGCGAAGGUGCAUUGUAAAGUGUGCUGGAGGUAUCGGAAGUGCGAAUGCUGACAUGAGUAGCGAUAAAGGGGGUGAAAGGCCCCCUCGCCGUAAGCCCAAGGUUUCCUACGCAACGUUCAUCGGCGUAGGGUGAGUCGGCCCCUAAGGCGAGGCAGAAAUGCGUAGCUGAUGGGAAGCAGGUCAAUAUUCCUGCACCAUUGUUAAAUGCGAUGGGGGGACGGAUCGCGGAAGGUUGUCCGGGUGUUGGAAGUCCCGGUCGCUGCGUUGGAGAAGGCACUUAGGCAAAUCCGGGUGCAGAAUUCAAGGGCGUGGCGCGAGCUUCUUAGGAAGCGAAGCAAUUGGAAGUGGUUCCAAGAAAAGCCUCUAAGCUUCAGUUUAACAGUGACCGUACCGCAAACCGACACAGGUGGGCGAGAUGAGUAUUCUAAGGCGCUUGAGAGAACUCGGGAGAAGGAACUCGGCAAAUUGGUACCGUAACUUCGGGAUAAGGUACGCCCCUGUAGCUUGACUGGCCUGCGCCAGAAGGGUGAAGGGGUUGCAAUAAACUGGUGGCUGCGACUGUUUAAUAAAAACACAGCACUCUGCAAACACGAAAGUGGACGUAUAGGGUGUGACGCCUGCCCGGUGCCGGAAGAUUAAAUGAUGGGGUGCAAGCUCUUGAUUGAAGUCCCGGUAAACGGCGGCCGUAACUAUAACGGUCCUAAGGUAGCGAAAUUCCUUGUCGGGUAAGUUCCGACCUGCACGAAUGGCGUAACGAUGGCCACACUGUCUCCUCCCGAGACUCAGCGAAGUUGAAGUGUUUGUGAUGAUGCAAUCUCCCCGCGGCUAGACGGAAAGACCCCAUGAACCUUUACUGUAGCUUUGCAUUGGACUUUGAACCGAUCUGUGUAGGAUAGGUGGGAGGCUAUGAAACCGGAACGCUAGUUUCGGUGGAGCCGUCCUUGAAAUACCACCCUGGUUUGUUUGAGGUUCUAACCUUGGCCCGUGAUCCGGGUCGGGGACAGUGCAUGGUAGGCAGUUUGACUGGGGCGGUCUCCUCCCAAAGUGUAACGGAGGAGUACGAAGGUACGCUAGGUACGGUCGGAAAUCGUGCUGAUAGUGCAAUGGCAUAAGCGUGCUUAACUGCGAGACCGACAAGUCGAGCAGGUGCGAAAGCAGGUCAUAGUGAUCCGGUGGUUCUGUAUGGAAGGGCCAUCGCUCAACGGAUAAAAGGUACUCUGGGGAUAACAGGCUGAUACCGCCCAAGAGUUCAUAUCGACGGCGGUGGUUUGGCACCUCGAUGUCGGCUCAUCGCAUCCUGGGGCUGUAGCAGGUCCCAAGGGUAUGGCUGUUCGCCAUUUAAAGAGGUACGUGAGCUGGGUUUAAAACGUCGUGAGACAGUUUGGUCCCUAUCUGCCGUGGGCGUUGGAUAUUUGAAGGGGGCUGCUCCUAGUACGAGAGGACCGGAGUGGACGAACCUCUGGUGUACCGGUUGUCACGCCAGUGGCAUCGCCGGGUAGCUAUGUUCGGAAGAGAUAACCGCUGAAAGCAUCUAAGCGGGAACUCGCCUUAAGAUGAGAUAUCCCUGGAGGCUUGACCUCCUUGAAGGGUCGUUCGAGACCAGGACGUUGAUAGGUCAGGUGUGUAAGCGCAGUAAUGCGUUCAGCUAACUGAUACUAAUUGCCCGUAAGGCUUGAUCCUAUAACCAGUCUGCG
This 2949-nucleotide ribosomal RNA is filed under the name Clostridium sp. AF46-12NS. RNAcentral describes it as "bacterial LSU rRNA". It matches the Rfam family "Bacterial large subunit ribosomal RNA". Lineage: Bacteria; Bacillati; Bacillota; Clostridia; Eubacteriales; Clostridiaceae. The record is from RNAcentral.